RNAcentral lists this ribosomal RNA (434 nucleotides) under uncultured bacterium. Its description in RNAcentral is "bacterial SSU rRNA". It matches the Rfam family "Bacterial small subunit ribosomal RNA", at positions 335 to 758 of the family's 1533-position model. The record is from RNAcentral.
ACUCCUACGGGAGGCAGCAGUAGGGAAUUUUUCGCAAUGGAGGAAACUCUGACGGAGCAAUACCGCGUGUGGGAAGAAGAUUUUCGGAUUGUAAACCACUGUUGUAAGGGAAGAACGUUAUUAGUAGGAAAUGGCUAAUAAGUGACGGUACCUUACCCAGAAAGGGACGGCUAACUACGUGCCAGCAGCCGCGGUAAUACGUAGGUCCCGAGCGUUAUCCGGAAUUAUUGGGCGUAAAGGGCACGUAGGCGGACAAAUAAGUUUGAUGUUCAAAUAUGAUGGCUCAACCAUCCAAGAGGCGUUGAAAACUGUUUAUCUAGAAUCUCGGAGAGGUAAGUGGAAUUCCAUGUGUAGCGGUGGAAUGCGUAGAUAUAUGGAGGAACACCAAUGGCGAAGGCAGCUUACUGGACGAAGAUUGACGCUGAGGUGCGAAA